GUGGGGAAUAUUGGACAAUGGGCGAAAGCCUGAUCCAGUCAUGCCGCGUGUGUGAAGAAGGUCUUCGGAUUGUAAAGCACUUUAAGUUGGGAGGAAGGGCAUUAACCUAAUACGUUAGUGUUUUGACGUUACCGACAGAAUAAGCACCGGCUAACUUCGUGCCAGCAGCCGCGGUAAUACGAAGGGUGCAAGCGUUAAUCGGAAUUACUGGGCGUAAAGCGCGCGUAGGUGGUUCGUUAAGUUGGAUGUGAAAGCCCCGGGCUCAACCUGGGAACUGCAUCCAAAACUGGCGAGCUAGAGUACGGUAGAGGGUGGUGGAAUUUCCUGUGUAGCGGUGAAAUGCGUAGAUAUAGGAAGGAACACCAGUGGCGAAGGCGACCACCUGGACUGAUACUGACACUGAGGUGCGAAAGCGUGGGGAGCAAACAGGAUUAGAAACCCGUGUAGUCC
Molecule: ribosomal RNA, 450 nt
Filed under: uncultured bacterium
Lineage: Bacteria
Description: partial 16S ribosomal RNA
Rfam family: Bacterial small subunit ribosomal RNA
Source: RNAcentral